AAGCGGUGGAUGAUGUGGUUUAAUUCGAUGCAACGCGAAAACCUUACCCUACCUUUGACAUGGCAGGAAUCCCGAAGAGAUUUGGGAGUGCUCGAAAGAGAACCUGCACACAGGUGCUGCAUGGCUGUCGUCAGCUCGUGUCGUGAGAUGUUGGGUUAAGUCCCGCAACGAGCGCAACCCUUGUCAUUAGUUGCCAUCAUUUGGUUGGGCACUCUAAUGAGACUGCCGGUGACAAACCGGAGGAAGGUGGGGAUGACGUCAAGUCCUCAUGGCCCUUAUGGGUAGGGCUUCACACGUCAUACAAUGGUCGGUACAGAGGGUUGCCAACCCGCGAGGGGGAGCUAAUCCCACAAAGCCGAUCGUAGUCCGGAUCGCAGUCUGCAACUCGACUGCGUGAAGUCGGAAUCGCUAGUAAUCGUGGAUCAGCAUGUCACGGUGAAUACGUUCCCGGGUCUU
RNAcentral lists this ribosomal RNA (456 nucleotides) under uncultured Rhodocyclaceae bacterium. RNAcentral describes it as "bacterial SSU rRNA". It matches the Rfam family "Bacterial small subunit ribosomal RNA", at positions 927 to 1382 of the family's 1533-position model. Lineage: Bacteria; Pseudomonadati; Pseudomonadota; Betaproteobacteria; Rhodocyclales; Rhodocyclaceae. The record is from RNAcentral.